Molecule: ribosomal RNA, 497 nt
Filed under: uncultured bacterium
Lineage: Bacteria
Description: partial 16S ribosomal RNA
Rfam family: Bacterial small subunit ribosomal RNA
Source: RNAcentral
GAUGAACGCUGGCGGCGUGCCUAAUACAUGCAAGUCGAGCGAACAGACGAGAAGCUUGCUUCUCUGAUGUUAGCGGCGGACGGGUGAGUAACACGUGGAUAACCUACCUAUAAGACUGGGAUAACUUCGGGAAACCGGAGCUAAUACCGGAUAAUAUUUUGAACCGCAUGGUUCAAAAGUGAAAGACGGUCUUGCUGUCACUUAUAGAUGGAUCCGCGCUGCAUUAGCUAGUUGGUAAGGUAACGGCUUACCAAGGCAACGAUGCAUAGCCGACCUGAGAGGGUGAUCGGCCACACUGGAACUGAGACACGGUCCAGACUCCUACGGGAGGCAGCAGUAGGGAAUCUUCCGCAAAGGGCGAAAGCCUGACGGAGCAACGCCGCGUGAGUGAUGAAGGUCUUCGGAUCGUAAAACUCUGUUAUUAGGGAAGAACAUAUGUGUAAGUAACUGUGCACAUCUUGACGGUACCUAAUCAGAAAGCCACGGCUAACUACGUG